CGAAUUAUAGUCUUUGGGAGGCAUUAUUAUUUACAUUAAUAUUUUAGUUGUUCGAUUCAACUUAAUUUGA
This 70-nucleotide transfer RNA is filed under the name Lethocerus indicus. Its description in RNAcentral is "tRNA-Val". Lineage: Eukaryota; Metazoa; Arthropoda; Insecta; Hemiptera; Belostomatidae. The record is from RNAcentral.